Molecule: transfer RNA, 63 nt
Filed under: Bostrichoidea sp. 6 KM-2017
Lineage: Eukaryota; Metazoa; Arthropoda; Insecta; Coleoptera
Description: tRNA-His
Source: RNAcentral
GCCUAAAUAGUUUAAUUUUAAAAUAUUGAUUUGUGGGGUCAAAGAUAUAAUUUAUUUUGGGUU